Molecule: ribosomal RNA, 460 nt
Filed under: uncultured bacterium
Lineage: Bacteria
Description: partial 16S ribosomal RNA
Rfam family: Bacterial small subunit ribosomal RNA
Source: RNAcentral
CCUACGGGUGGCUGCAGUGAGGAAUAUUGGUCAAUGGACGAGAGUCUGAACCAGCCAAGUAGCGUGAAGGAUGACUGCCCUAUGGGUUGUAAACUUCUUUUAUAAAGGAAUAAAACGAGGCACGUGUGCCUUUUUGUAUGUACUUUAUGACUAAGGAUCGGCUAACUCCGUGCCAGCAGCCGCGGUAAUACGGAGGAUCCGAGCGUUAUCCGGAUUUAUUGGGUUUAAAGGGAGCGUAGGUGGGUUGUUAAGUCAGUUGUGAAAGUUUGCGGCUCAACCGUAAAAUUGCAAUUGAUACUGGCAGUCUUGAGUACAGUUGAGGUAGGCGGAAUUCGUGGUGUAGCGGUGAAAUGCUUAGAUAUCACGAAGAACCCCGAUUGCGAAGGCAGCUUACUAAACUGUGACUGACAUUGAUGCUCGAAAGUGUGGGUAUCAAACAGGAUUAGAUACCCCAGUAGUC